Non-coding RNA from Aedes albopictus (Asian tiger mosquito), 118 nucleotides. The record is from Rfam. Lineage: Eukaryota; Metazoa; Arthropoda; Insecta; Diptera; Culicidae.
UGCCCAGCAACUCCUAUCCCUCCCUCCACGCGGUACCGGCCGGAAACUAUGAGCACCCUUAGGGAAGAUCGGGUAACCAACCCCGGGGGGAACUUUGGUCGUAGGCUGACAGGGAAGG